This 253-nucleotide ribosomal RNA is filed under the name uncultured bacterium. RNAcentral's name for it is "partial 16S ribosomal RNA". It matches the Rfam family "Bacterial small subunit ribosomal RNA", at positions 524 to 776 of the family's 1533-position model. The record is from RNAcentral.
UACGUAGGGGGCAAGCGUUGUCCGGAUUUAUUGGGCGUAAAGAGCGUGUAGGCGGCCAGGUAGGUCAGCUGUGAAAACUCGAGGCUCAACCUCGAGACGUCGGUUGAAACCACUUGGCUAGAGUCCGGAAGAGGAGACUGGAAUUCCUGGUGUAGCGGUGGAAUGCGCAGAUAUCAGGAGGAACACCGGUGGCGAAGGCGGGUCUCUGGGCAGUAACUGACGCUGAGGAGCGAAAGCGUGGGGAGCGAACAGG